RNAcentral lists this unclassified non-coding RNA (211 nucleotides) under Hevea brasiliensis (rubber tree). Lineage: Eukaryota; Viridiplantae; Streptophyta; Magnoliopsida; Malpighiales; Euphorbiaceae. The record is from RNAcentral.
UUAGAUUUACUUUUAUUGCCUUUUGUUUAACUCUAGAACUCCGCAUAUAUCAAUAGUUGUAUGUAUUUUUCUAUACGAGUUGUAAUUACUUAAAUUUAUAGAGUUGUAAAACUAAUUAUGUGAGAUUGUAUAGAUGCAUGUAAUAUUUACUAAUGUUGAUGGAGGAAGCUGAGCUCUCAAAUGUUAAUUUAUCUAUUUUAAGAAUUGUGAG